RNAcentral lists this transfer RNA (83 nucleotides) under Candidatus Methanomethylophilus alvi Mx1201. RNAcentral describes it as "Candidatus Methanomethylophilus alvus Mx1201 tRNA". It matches the Rfam family "tRNA". From Rfam's summary of the family: Transfer RNA (tRNA) molecules are approximately 80 nucleotides in length. Their secondary structure includes four short double-helical elements and three loops (D, anti-codon, and T loops). The record is from Rfam by way of RNAcentral. Lineage: Archaea; Methanobacteriati; Thermoplasmatota; Thermoplasmata; Methanomassiliicoccales; Methanomethylophilaceae.
GCGGGAGUGGCUCAGUGGACUACUACGCCGGUCUUGAAAACCGGUGGGAUCAUCCCUCGGGGGUUCGAAUCCCUCCUCCCGCG